Molecule: long non-coding RNA, 2235 nt
Filed under: Malus domestica (apple)
Lineage: Eukaryota; Viridiplantae; Streptophyta; Magnoliopsida; Rosales; Rosaceae
Description: long non-coding RNA (MDOM_LNC017516)
Source: RNAcentral
ACUCAAGCGUGAGUAUGACUAGUCUCAAGUCAUUUGGUGUUGGACACUAAGUGAUAGAGCAUAUUUAUGCGACUUAAUUGGCUUGUUCUCGUGCUUUUACGUUGUGUUUCUUUAGUUAUUUUAGUGUUUAAAGUCACUUUUAUGUGUUUUCAGAUUCUAAGGCCAAAGUGUGCAAAAUGAUGUAAUUUGGAGCCUUUUAGAGCAAAAUGAAUGGAUGAAUUGAAGACUUGAAGAAAUUAGGUUUCCUAAUCAACGAAGGAUUCCUAAUUGAAGAUGGACUCCUAAUCACAUGAGGAUUCCUAGAAUAACAAGGAUUCCUACUCCAACAAGGAUUCCUACUCCAACAAGGAUUCCUACUUGAAGUAGGAAAGUUAAGCCAAGGUUUCCUAUUUUGGUUUGACCUUUCCUAAUUCUAAAAAUACUUAUGUUCCAGUCACUUUGAGGACUUCAUAUGCACUUGAGGACACAAAACAAAGGCCCUAGAACCCUCAUGGACAUAUGCCGCACUUGACCCACCUUUCCUCUUCCUUGCCGUGCAAGGGAGAGGGUUAUUUCCUAUUUCCUUGCAUUAAAACACAUUCCUAUUGUGUUUUGUCCCCUUGCCGCAUAUCUUAGCCAAUUUCCCUUAGUUUUCUGAUUUUGAUUUCCUAUUUCUAUAAGCUUUUGACUUAAUUUCUGAUUACCUAAAUAACCUAGGGUUUUAAUUUCCUAAACCCUUUAAAUAAACUUCCUUGUUGCAGCCACAAAAUGACCAUUCACUCCCAUUCAUGCAGAAACCAUCCCACCAUCCUUGCCGCACCCAUCCUUGACCAAUCUCCAUAGUUUCUGACCCUAAACACUUCUAGCCGCACCAUACAUCCAUCCUAAACACCAUUCCACCCUUCUACAUCAUCCAUAACCCCCAAAACUCAUCACAAAACCACUUGUGUGCUGUAGCAAGAAGGAAGAAGGAAGGACCCCUGGAUGUUCAAGCUUCAUUGUUGGUACAUUCUAGGUGUAAUUCGUUUUAUGAUUUCAUUGUGUAAUUUCUUUCCCUUUCGUUUUGCUAUGAACAUGAGUGGCUAAACCCCUAUUAGUUAGGGGUGAUUUCAAAGCCAUGACUAUGUGUGCAAUUUGAUUUGAUAAAUUCCAAUUAUGAAUUCUUAAAUCGUGAAUGCAAUUGGCUUAACUAUUUGAUUAAUAACUUAUUUGUGUUUGUUAAUUAGGGGUCGACACUUAAUUGGCAUGCAUAAAUAUGAUGCUAGAGUAUAAGGAUGUUUCACAUAAUCGUUACAAACUUAUAUUCAUAUGUAGUGAAGGUUGCUAGUCACAAUCGCGUUAAGUUCAAUUCUUAGCAUGAGUGACAUGAUGUCAUAGUUGCAAGUGCUUUGUCACUGCUUAUGGUUUUCAUUGAAUGUAAUGAUCUUUGAUCGUAUCUCUAUUAUGAUGUCAUGUAGGGGACCUUUGAAGAAUGCUUUGGGUUGUUGAAUGAUGCCAUCCAAUCCAAUAAUACAAGGAAAACCUGAGAGUCAGCUAGUGAUGUCACGGCUAAUUUGGGGCAAUGUCGUUCAUAGUUCUAUGAAGGAAUAAUUGGAAAUCGAGUCGUUUGAAUACAUGUCAUGUGUAGAGAAAGAGCCUCUAACUAAUCAAUCAUCCAUUUAAACUCCCAAUUCGUUUUACAAUCUGUUUUAAUUACAAAGUUUUUGUUUUGUUUUCAAUUUCGUCAAAACCAAUCUCCCCUUUACUUUGAAGUCCUAGAUUAGUUAGAAAGUGUUUUAGUUUGUGUUUUUAAGUGUUUUGAUUCAAGUUAUAACCCAAUUUCGUUCAGAUUUAUGUUAGAGUUCAAAACUGCCCAGAAAGUGUUUUUAAGGCAGUUUUGAGUCUUUUGGUUCGUUUUAGUGGUUUAAAUUUUAGUUUGCAUUCUUGGAGUCUAGUUUAGUGUUUUAAACUUUGUUUUUACGUUUUUAAGUCAGUUUUCAAGUGUUUAGCAAUCCCUCCUAAUCCCCGGUUUAGAACGAUCCCUACUUACAUACUUUGCUACAAUUGAUAAAAAGAGGGUUUAAUUUGUGUGCUUAUAUAUUUCGCAUCACUAAGAUAAACACAUAGGUGCUCGAAAGAGUAAUCGAGUACACUGAACUACGAUCAAAAGAGAGUUCGAACAUACAUGUCAUGUAAGAACUCAAUAGUUGCAAUAUGCAAAGUAGUCCUUUGACCUGAGGCAUCAUAGAUGUCUAAUGGUUAGGUCCUUGACCUUUG